RNAcentral lists this ribosomal RNA (341 nucleotides) under Deliochus sp. FAPDNA027. Its description in RNAcentral is "partial 12S ribosomal RNA". The record is from RNAcentral. Lineage: Eukaryota; Metazoa; Arthropoda; Arachnida; Araneae; Araneidae.
AUACCCUAUUAUAUUUAUCACUUUAAGGUAGUAUAAAUUUAUAUAAAAACCUAUAUAGUUUGGCGGCAUUUUAUCAUAUUAGAGGAACCUGUCUCUUAAUCGUAACUCCACGCUAUCUCUUACUUUUAUUUAAAUCUUAUAUACCGCCAUCUUAAGAAUUAUUUUAAAAAAUUUCUCCAAAUAUAAAAAUAAAAAGUUAGGUAAAGGUGUAGACUAUUUAGAAGUUGAGAUGUGUUACUUUAAAUUAAUAUUUAAAGAUAAUUUCUUAAAAAUUAAAUGGAAAAAGGAUUUAAAAGUAAAAUUUAACUAAUAAUUAAAAUUGAAAAUGAUAACAAAUGUGC